UGCCCUGUGACUAUAAGUUUAACGGCCGCGGUAUUUUGACCGUGCGAAGGUAGCGCAAUCACUUGUCUUUUAAAUGGAGACCUGUAUGAAUGGCAUAACGAGGGCUUAGCUGUCUCCUUUUUCAAGUCAAUGAAAUUGAUCUCCCCGUGCAGAAGCGGGGAUAAUAGCAUAAGACGAGAAGACCCUAUGAAGCUUUAGAUGUAAGACAGAUCAUGUUAAACACUCCUUAAUAAAGGUUAAAACCAAAUGAAUCCUGUCCCAAUGUCUUUGGUUGGGGCGACCGCGGGGAAACAAAAAACCCCCACGUGGAACGGGAGCAC
RNAcentral lists this ribosomal RNA (320 nucleotides) under Etheostoma collis (Carolina darter). Its description in RNAcentral is "partial 16S ribosomal RNA". It matches the Rfam family "Bacterial large subunit ribosomal RNA", at positions 1860 to 2322 of the family's 2925-position model. The record is from RNAcentral. Lineage: Eukaryota; Metazoa; Chordata; Actinopteri; Perciformes; Percidae.